Non-coding RNA from Triticum aestivum (bread wheat), 132 nucleotides. Lineage: Eukaryota; Viridiplantae; Streptophyta; Magnoliopsida; Poales; Poaceae. The record is from Rfam.
UUUCUACUCCCUCCAUCCGAAAAUACUUGUCAUCAAAAUGGAUAAAAGAUGUAUCUAAAACUAAAAUACGUCUAGAUACAUUUCCUUUUAUUCAUUUUGAUGAAAAGUAUUUCCGGACGGAGGGAGUAUUUG